UUUUUUUAGCACUAAAAUUUCGCAAAAGAAUUGUAUUUUGAUGAUUGAAUUUGAAGUUUUUGAGACAAGGAUGUGAGUAUUUAUAAAAAAGCGUAAACUUCAAAUACCACACCCAUGGUUUCGCACUUUCACACUUUAGUGUCCUAUGGUUUAAAGUGUAUCAAGUUAGUGUCCUGCGGUUUCAUUUUUAUGUUUUCGUCAGUUUUUCCGUUAAUAUUUCGUUAAAUUAUAUAUAAAAAAUUUCAGAUAUCCCACCUAGAUUUAUCGAAUAUUCACUUUAGCAUCCUUUAGUUUUAAUUUUGUCACUGAUUUAACGAAAAAAAUUAAGAGGAUCGAUAAUUUAAAGAUAAAAAUAAAUCCAUAGGGUACUAAAGUGAGAAAGUGUGAAACCACGUGGACGGUAUUUGAAGUUUUUCCUAUAAAAAAAAGUUGAAUCGGA
RNAcentral lists this long non-coding RNA (439 nucleotides) under Ananas comosus (pineapple). Its description in RNAcentral is "long non-coding RNA (ACOM_LNC030938)". The record is from RNAcentral. Lineage: Eukaryota; Viridiplantae; Streptophyta; Magnoliopsida; Poales; Bromeliaceae.